Molecule: non-coding RNA, 1553 nt
Organism: Triticum urartu
Lineage: Eukaryota; Viridiplantae; Streptophyta; Magnoliopsida; Poales; Poaceae
Source: RefSeq, a predicted model, not a curated record
UGAAGCAACUGAUUUAUGCAGGCAACUGAAUGGAUUAAAGCUCGAAAGCUCAUACCUGGAUGGUUUUUGUCACACCAAAAUGAAGUAUAAGAAAACCUUAUAAAAGAAGAUACAUACCUGUCUGGGCGUCCUUGCUAUCGUCGUUUCCAACCCGUCCGCAGGGUCUGCCACUCUUGGGUGCCCUUUUGGGUAAUGGUCUAGCUGUUUCCUUGCAUCCAUGCUGCUGCAGGGUUGUAGUCGUACCCGUGGCCAUGGUUAUCACUCAUCAACUUGGUCGUGCUCAUGUGGACUAUUUAUUUCCAACAAUGCCAUCAAACCAUCAGAGGUUCCUCACCGGUUUCCUUUUGCUGCACCUUUGUUUGGUUGCUCUAGGGUGAGAGGACCUCUCUGCGUCUGUAUGCUGAUUUGGUCAUGGAAUUCGAGCCUCAUUUACUGCACCUCUGGUUUGUGUAUUUUCAUGGAAUGCCACUCUCAAAUUAGUUUAGCUUUGUCCACACAUAUUAUGAUGUUUUGUGUCUAUUGCUGCCUUUGGCAUAUUUAAUCAUCUAUGUGUCUGCCAUGAAUUUAACAUGAAUAUAUUCCUGUUUUUUGUUACUUCUCUUGGCUUGGAUCACUAUGUUUGUUCUUCCUUUGCCUUUCAAUACAUCAAGGUGAGCUUCACACAUCGUUCCCUCUUUUAUUAUAUUCAGGCAAUGAAGGAUCAGUACACGCCCAAUCUUCUGUGGCCUCCUCUCAUAAGAACUUCUACAUCGCUGUAUGAAAAUAGCUUUUCUUUGUCCAUGUGAUUAUUUGGGGAUUUUUGCCCAUAAAAAUAGCUUCUGAUGCCAAUACCGAGAUGUUAUUGAUGCAUGGUUGGAUUGGAUAUUCACAGAACUUUAUACCAUAUACUUUGGGCAUUGCUGAAACAACUGAAUGUCAAAGGUGCUUAUGGGUUGUCCUACAAUUUGUGUGGAUGUAUUUAGCUGUGGCGUUUAUGGUAGCUGCAGCAGCUUGUCAAUUAGUUCUUAGUCAAGGACAGGCACCAAUACAUGCUACCACUUAAUUCAGGUCAUGGUACCACUUAAUUCAGGCCAUUGUACCUGCAACGUCCGGUCUUCAUGGGAAUGCGUACCGCCGUCGAAUCCUAUUGACCCGCACUCGAUCCCGACCCUCGAUUGGGGUCGAUGAACCCGGUACACGGGACACGGCGUCGACCCGCGUUCCCGGCUACUAUGGUCUUAACGCGAGGAGGUGCCGAGAUACACGAGGGGUUGGAGCAGGACUGCAAGAGGAGUUGAGGACAUGUUUUGUUUUAGAUCCACCUGAUUAGUCCCAAGUUUUUGCAAGGUCUGCUUCUUAUGCAGAGGUUUCUUUUGAUGGGCAGCCUAGCCAAUUAAUUAUGUUUGGAUCACUCUGGGCAAUUCUCUCUGGAGUUGAGAGUACUCUGAGCACUGCCCAUAGCGUGCCACGACGACCGUUUGCACUAUAGGAGCCUCGCGACACAGGUCAUCUCUCUCCUUUCUCCUCCUCCAGCUUCCCUCCCUUUAGGUCUCAUUGUAGCUUUUAUGUGCGAG